GACGAACGCUGGCGGCGUGCUUAACACAUGCAAGUCGAACGGAAAGGCCCUGCUUUUGUGGGGUGCUCGAGUGGCGAACGGGUGAGUAACACGUGAGUAACCUGCCCUUGACUUUGGGAUAACUUCAGGAAACUGGGGCUAAUACCGGAUAGGAGCUCCUGCUGCAUGGUGGGGGUUGGAAAGUUUCGGCGGUUGGGGAUGGACUCGCGGCUUAUCAGCUUGUUGGUGGGGUAGAGGCUUACCAAGGCUUUGACGGGUAGCCGGCCUGAGAGGGUGACCGGCCACAUGGGGACUGAGAUACGGACCAGACUCGUACGGGAGGCAGCAGUGGGGAAUAUUGCACAAUGGGCGGAAGCGUGAGGCAGCAACGCCGCGUGCGGGAUGAGCGCCUUCGGGUUGUAAACCGCUUUCGCCUGUGACGAAGCGUGAGUGACGGUAAUGGGUAAAGAAGCACCGGCUAACUACGUG
RNAcentral lists this ribosomal RNA (468 nucleotides) under uncultured bacterium. Its description in RNAcentral is "partial 16S ribosomal RNA". It matches the Rfam family "Bacterial small subunit ribosomal RNA", at positions 28 to 507 of the family's 1533-position model. The record is from RNAcentral.